GGUUCCAUAGAGUAGUGGUUAGCAUGUCUGCUUUACACUCAGAAGUUCUUGAGUUUGAACCCCAGUGGAGCCA
Molecule: transfer RNA, 73 nt
Filed under: Pteropus alecto (black flying fox)
Lineage: Eukaryota; Metazoa; Chordata; Mammalia; Chiroptera; Pteropodidae
Rfam family: tRNA
About the family: Transfer RNA (tRNA) molecules are approximately 80 nucleotides in length. Their secondary structure includes four short double-helical elements and three loops (D, anti-codon, and T loops). Further hydrogen bonds mediate the characteristic L-shaped molecular structure. tRNAs have two regions of fundamental functional importance: the anti-codon, which is responsible for specific mRNA codon recognition, and the 3' end, to which the tRNAs corresponding amino acid is attached (by aminoacyl-tRNA synthetases). tRNAs cope with the degeneracy of the genetic code in two manners: having more than one tRNA (with a specific anti-codon) for a particular amino acid; and 'wobble' base-pairing, i.e. permitting non-standard base-pairing at the 3rd anti-codon position.
Source: Rfam by way of RNAcentral